GGGGAUGUAACGGAUUCGACGGGGUGACUGUUGCCGUUCGCUGCAUGUCGUGCUUAGCUGGUGGCGCACGUAAAUUCAACUAGCAAAACAAAAAUGCCGAUUAUGAUUACGCAAUGGCUGCGUAAAAAAUAAUAGCAGCCACGCUUAAUGGACGAUUUGCCUAUCGGUCUUCCAUUAGGUGUCGCAAAUAGAUAGGAUAGCACUUGUGCGUUCGACAGGAGCAAGCGCGAAAAUAAUACUGCCGAUAGCUUGCAAGUUCCUGUCGCUUGGAUCACUUGCUUGCGAUAAACAAAAAGCGACUAAACAUGUAGAAGCUUCGGAGGAAGCACUUCGGACGCGGGUUCGACUCCCGCCAUCUCCACAA
RNAcentral lists this transfer-messenger RNA (364 nucleotides) under Bacteroidota (CFB group bacteria). Its description in RNAcentral is "JAAYJM01 sp012522895 X1 Standard tmRNA". It matches the Rfam family "transfer-messenger RNA". Rfam says of the family: Bacterial tmRNA, also known as 10Sa RNA or SsrA, is named for its dual tRNA and mRNA-like properties. Its role is to liberate the mRNA from a stalled ribosome. The record is from RNAcentral. RNAcentral also lists the same sequence under 1 other name. Lineage: Bacteria; Pseudomonadati.